Molecule: transfer RNA, 90 nt
Filed under: Streptomyces phage Coruscant
Lineage: Duplodnaviria; Heunggongvirae; Uroviricota; Caudoviricetes; Stanwilliamsviridae
Description: tRNA-Ser
Rfam family: tRNA
About the family: Transfer RNA (tRNA) molecules are approximately 80 nucleotides in length.
Source: RNAcentral
GGAAGUAUGCCAGAGAGGCCGAUCGGGCAAUCCUGCUAAGAUUGUGAAUGGGUAAAACUGUUCCGUGGGUUCGAAUCCCACUACUUCCGC